RNAcentral lists this ribosomal RNA (638 nucleotides) under uncultured bacterium. RNAcentral describes it as "bacterial SSU rRNA". It matches the Rfam family "Bacterial small subunit ribosomal RNA", at positions 9 to 635 of the family's 1533-position model. The record is from RNAcentral.
GAGUUUGAUCCUGGCUCAGGAUGAACGCUGGCGGCGUGCUUAACACAUGCAAGUCGAACGGGGAUGCAGGGAACUAAGUAAAUAGCUUGCUAUGAGCGAAGUAUCCUGUAUCUUAGUGGCGGACGGGUGAGUAACGCGUGGGUAACCUGCCAUAUACAGGGGGAUAACAGCGAGAAAUUGCUGCUAAAACCGCAUAAGCGCACGGAGUCGCAUGACUCAGUGUGAAAAACUCCGGUGGUAUAUGAUGGACCCGCGUCUGAUUAGCCAGUUGGCAGGGUAACGGCCUACCAAAGCGACGAUCAGUAGCCGGCCUGAGAGGGUGGACGGCCACAUUGGGACUGAGACACGGCCCAAACUCCUACGGGAGGCAGCAGUGGGGAAUAUUGCACAAUGGGGGAAACCCUGAUGCAGCGACGCCGCGUGAGUGAAGAAGUAAUUCGUUAUGUAAAGCUCUAUCAGCAGGGAAGAAAAGAGACGGUACCUGACUAAGAAGCCCCGGCUAACUACGUGCCAGCAGCCGCGGUAAUACGUAGGGGGCAAGCGUUAUCCGGAUUUACUGGGUGUAAAGGGAGCGCAGACGGCACAGCAAGUCUGGAGUGAAAGCCCGCGGCUCAACCGCGGGACUGCUCUGGAAACUG